UAUAUCUUGGCGAUGGUAUCGUUCUGAAUCGGUGAAGGGGGCCAUCUGCGGUCUGCGGCGAUGGCACGAGGUCCGAGGAGGAACUGCCUCCCUCGCUUUGCCCGCAAAGACAGGAGGAGCAUAGCUGAGCUGCAACUUCCGACUCCAAAGACCUCUGUCACAAUUCUACUUACCGACAUGGCCGAGCCGGCCUUUCCUGAUACAACAGCAGCUUCCUUGUCUUCCCUUUCUACCUCUCAACAGAAGUACUCCAAUUCUUCCGGAAAUAAUGAAUGUGCAGCCUCCACGCCCUCAGACUGAUCGAGAGCUCGACAAGUCCAGAGACAAGCUUCAAAAACAUUAAUGGUCUUUCUCAUCCAUGACCUUCCACUUCCUUCGGUGCAAAAGGAUUAUUUGACCCUUCUACAGUAUUGUUUGCAAACUUGGAUUUGUGGGUUCUCAGAUCAUGAGAGACUUCACUUUGAGAAGCGACAAAUCGUUUGGCCUAUUCCAGCUGAUCAAAGCUUGGGCAGGUGACUGCGUAUCUAUUGCCACUCGUCGAAGAUCCAUCAUUACUCCUCGGACCUCUGACGUUAUCCUACUAUUUACCUGCUUAGCUCCAGCUGGGCCAUCUAUAACUGCCGUCAAUCUCAUCAUAAUGAGAUUGGACACAAUGAAUUUUUCUAUGGCAGUCCCACUUAGCUGCCAUAAUUCUUCGCAAUAGGCCCAGAGACGAUGCCUUCGCUGACAGGUCAUUUGUCAGUCCGCAAGGGCAAUGUUUCGCCAUGCAAACAUUCAAUGGCAAUGACGGUCACUCUACCAUUCCUCAAUCAUUAUUCACUUCUUCCGAAAGAAACAGAUCAUAGGUUAAAUGGAGUUGCAAGAAGCGCAUGGUAUCGCAAGAUCUUUUUCUACAUGUUGUAAUUAUUUAUUUCUAGUCGUGUCUCAACAUAUUCUACAUGUACAAUAGGUGUAACGGAGAGCCAUUUAAAACAAU
RNAcentral lists this small RNA (976 nucleotides) under Cryptococcus neoformans H99. RNAcentral's name for it is "Cryptococcus neoformans var. grubii H99 hypothetical RNA". The record is from RNAcentral. Lineage: Eukaryota; Fungi; Basidiomycota; Tremellomycetes; Tremellales; Cryptococcaceae.